This 497-nucleotide ribosomal RNA is filed under the name uncultured bacterium. RNAcentral's name for it is "partial 16S ribosomal RNA". It matches the Rfam family "Bacterial small subunit ribosomal RNA", at positions 28 to 507 of the family's 1533-position model. The record is from RNAcentral.
GACGAACGCUGGCGGCGUGCCUAAUACUUGCAAGUUGAGCGCUGAAGGUUGGUACUUGUGCCAACUGGAUGAGCAGCGAACGGGCGAGUAACGAGUGGGGAAUCUGCCAUUGAGCGGGGGACAAUAUUUGGAAAAGACUGCUAAUAACGCAUAAAAACUUUAAACACAAGAUUUAAGUUUGAAAGAUGCAAUUGCAUCACUAAAAGAUGAUCCCGCGUUGUAUUAGCUAGUUGGUGAGGUAAAGGCUCACCAAGGCGAUGAUACAUAGUCGACCUGAGAGGGUGAUCGGCCACAAUUGGAAUGAGGCACGGCCCAAACUCCUACGGGAAGCAGCAGUAGGGAAACUUUGGCAAUUGACGAAAGUCUGACCGAACAACGCCGCGGGAGGUAAGGAGGUUUUCGGAUCGUAAAACUCUGUUGGUAGGGAAGAACGUUGGGGAGAGUGGAAAGCUCAUCAAGUGACGGUAACUACCCAGAAAGGGACGGCUAACUACGUG